This 409-nucleotide ribosomal RNA is filed under the name bacterium. RNAcentral's name for it is "partial 16S ribosomal RNA". It matches the Rfam family "Bacterial small subunit ribosomal RNA", at positions 355 to 776 of the family's 1533-position model. The record is from RNAcentral. RNAcentral also lists the same sequence under 1 other name.
UGGGGAAUAUUGCACAAUGGGCGAAAGCCUGAUGCAGCGACGCCGCGUGAGGGAUGACGGCCUUCGGGUUGUAAACCUCUUUCAGCAGGGACGAAGCGCAAGUGACGGUACCUGCAGAAGAAGCACCGGCUAACUACGUGCCAGCAGCCGCGGUAAUACGUAGGGUGCAAGCGUUGUCCGGAAUUACUGGGCGUAAAGAGUUCGUAGGCGGUUUGUCGCGUCGUUUGUGAAAACCAGCAGCUCAACUGCUGGCUUGCAGGCGAUACGGGCAGACUUGUGUACUGCAGGGGAGACUGGAAUUCCUGGUGUAGCGGUGAAAUGCGCAGAUAUCAGGAGGAACACCGGUGGCGAAGGCGGGUCUCUGGGCAGUAACUGACGCUGAGGAACGAAAGCGUGGGUAGCGAACAGG